GGUGCAGUGGCUUCUAUGUUUUGGGUUGAUGCUGAAUUAGGGAGUGAUAUUUACCUUGAUGGUAUCAUAACUAUUGUGGAUUCAAAAUAUGGAUUAAAAGUGAAAUACCACUAAAGGCAGAAGAGAAUGAAAUCAUCCCACCCACUGACCCGUUCCCAAUCUGAGCAUAUGGAUAGGGCCCAAAGCACAUUUAACAGAAGAGAAACCUGAUGGCCUUAUCAAUGAAGCUACUAGGCAAGUUGCUUUGGCAGAUAUCGUUCUCAUUAAUAAAACAGACUUGGUUCCAGAAGAAGAUGUAAAGAAAUUAAGAACAACAAUUAGAUCCAUAAAUGGACUAGGACAAAUCUUAGAAACACAAAGAUCAAGUUGUUUUUAGUUUGCAGAAAAAACUUCAGCAUGUGCCAGGAACACAACCUCACCUUGAUCAG
Molecule: long non-coding RNA, 428 nt
Filed under: Homo sapiens (human)
Lineage: Eukaryota; Metazoa; Chordata; Mammalia; Primates; Hominidae
Description: HSALNT0352414
Source: RNAcentral